Molecule: ribosomal RNA, 379 nt
Filed under: uncultured bacterium
Lineage: Bacteria
Description: bacterial SSU rRNA
Rfam family: Bacterial small subunit ribosomal RNA
Source: RNAcentral
AUAUUGGACAAUGGGGGAAACCCUGAUCCAGCAAUGCCGCGUGAGUGAAGAAGGCCUUAGGGUUGUAAAGCUCUUUCGCCCGCGAAGAUCAUGACGGUAGCGGGAGAAGAAGCCCCGGCUAACUCCGUGCCAGCAGCCGCGGUAAUACGGAGGGGGCUAGCGUUGUUCGGAAUUACUGGGCGUAAAGCGUACGUAGGCGGAUGCGCAAGUUGGGGGUGAAAUCCCGGGGCUUAACCUCGGAAUUGCCCUCAAAACUGCACGUCUUGAGACCGAGAGAGGUAAGGGGAAUUCCUAGUGUAGAGUUGAAAUUAGUAGAUAUUAGGAAGAACACCAGUGGCGAAGGCGCCUUACUUGCUCGGUACUGACGCUGAGGUACGAA